Molecule: ribosomal RNA, 406 nt
Filed under: uncultured bacterium
Lineage: Bacteria
Description: partial 16S ribosomal RNA
Rfam family: Bacterial small subunit ribosomal RNA
Source: RNAcentral
AUUGAACGCUGGCGGCAUGCCUUACACAUGCAAGUCGAACGAGUGGCGAACGGGUGUGUAAUACAUCGGAACGUGCCCUGUAGUGGGGGAUAACUAGUCGAAAGACUAGCUAAUACCGCAUACUAUAGGAGCGGACGAUGUCUGAUUAGCUGGUUGGUGGGGUAAGGGCCUACCACGGCGACGAUCAGUAGCUGGGCUGAGAGGACGAUCAGCCACAAGGGGACGGAGACACGGCCCAGACUCCUACGGGGGGCAGCAGUGGGGAAUUUUGGACAAGGGGGGCAACCCUGAUGCAGCAAUGCGGCGUGUGUGAAGAAGGCCUUCGGGUUGUAAAGCACUUUUGUCCGGGAAGCGGUACCGGAAGAAUAAGGACCGGCUAACUACGUGCCAGCAGCCGCGGUAAUAC